CCCGUCACAUCACGAAAGUGGGCUGUACUAGAAAUCGUCGAGCUAACCGCAAGGAAGCAGACGCUCAAGGUAUGACUCAUGAUUGGGGUG
Molecule: ribosomal RNA, 90 nt
Filed under: uncultured bacterium
Lineage: Bacteria
Description: partial 16S ribosomal RNA
Rfam family: Bacterial small subunit ribosomal RNA
Source: RNAcentral